Molecule: ribosomal RNA, 245 nt
Filed under: uncultured Anaeroplasma sp.
Lineage: Bacteria; Bacillati; Mycoplasmatota; Mollicutes; Anaeroplasmatales; Anaeroplasmataceae
Description: partial 16S ribosomal RNA
Rfam family: Bacterial small subunit ribosomal RNA
Source: RNAcentral
UACGUAGGGAGCGAGCGUUAUCCGGAAUUAUUGGGCGUAAAGGGUGCGUAGAUGGCACAUUAAGUUUCUUGUUAAAAUGCUGGGCUCAACCCAGUAGUGCAAGAGAUACUGAUGAGCUAGAGUAUGGAAGAGGCAAGUGGAACUCCAUGUGUAGCGGUAAAAUGCGUAAAUAUAUGGAAGAACACCAGUGGCGAAGGCGGCUUGCUGGUCCAAUACUGACAUUGAGGCACGAAAGCGUGGGGAGC